AUUCUCACGUUCAUGUUAUAUAGUCAGUUAGCAUUGUUCAUGCAUUUAAACCUUUUGCAUUCAGCCUACCUCACUUUCAUACCAGUACAUUCAAUCAUACUGACGUAUUUUUACUAUGGUGUUUUUAUAUCAUAGGUUCAAAAGGACGAGCUCUAGAGCAUCAUUGGCAUUCCCGUCUCAGCAGUCAGAGUCAACAGUGAGUCCUCAUUCUUUGAGGAAAUAAUCAUUACUUUAUUUCUUUAUUACUUAGUUUAUUUCAGUAGUUGGAGUUAGUUGGCAACAUGUUCCAUCAAUUCUUUAUUC
RNAcentral lists this long non-coding RNA (303 nucleotides) under Capsicum annuum. RNAcentral describes it as "long non-coding RNA (CANN_LNC001528)". The record is from RNAcentral. Lineage: Eukaryota; Viridiplantae; Streptophyta; Magnoliopsida; Solanales; Solanaceae.